Molecule: long non-coding RNA, 760 nt
Organism: Columba livia (rock pigeon)
Lineage: Eukaryota; Metazoa; Chordata; Aves; Columbiformes; Columbidae
Exons: 3
Source: RefSeq, a predicted model, not a curated record
GUUAAAAAACUGCAUCGUGUGGUUGUGUUUUCAUCUGUAUUCUAAUUGCUUCUCUUUUCUCAGUCAAUUGACGAGGAGCAGCCCCGGAGCAGUGACAAGUGUGCCACCACCUGCAGUUCCCUCAGAAACUGACGCCAGAGGCUGAGAGAACGGGAAAAACACCCAUCACGGAUGUGGAGGUGCGCUCGCUGCCUUGCUGCUGCCGAGGACGCUCGCGGCGGCGGCCGAAAGAACCGAGAAUCAUCUCUCGAACUGCUGGCACGGGAGCUUUCCCUUCCCAGGUGACCGUACCGCAGCUAAUCGUUCUGAACUACGCGUUAUUCCCGUGGCUGCGAAGGAGCAGCGGGGUUACCUUCCCGUGGUGCUCCUUGCACCACUCGGACAUGCCGUCCAGCAGCUCGUCGGGCUGGUUGAUGAUCAGGUUGGGGCCCUGGCAGGAGGAGAACACACGAGAUCGGGUGAGGAACGCGGCCGGUACCGGCAGAUCAGGUGAGGAACGCGGUCGGUACCGAUAGAUCGGGUGAGGAACGCGGCCGGUACCGGCAGACGGGGUGAGGAACGCGGCCGGUUCCGCGUCCCCGCUGUGCCCCGGCCCGGGCCCGAGGCACGGCCGGCCCGCGCACCCACCUCGGCCAGCACGUUGAGGUCGCAGUCGGUGAUCAGACACGCCAUCUCCAGGAUCUGGUCCUUCUCCACGUCCAGGCCCGUCAUCUGCCACACAGCGCGGCACCGUCAGCGCGCCCGCCGCCGCCCGCGCCCC